RNAcentral lists this ribosomal RNA (497 nucleotides) under uncultured bacterium. RNAcentral's name for it is "partial 16S ribosomal RNA". It matches the Rfam family "Bacterial small subunit ribosomal RNA", at positions 28 to 507 of the family's 1533-position model. The record is from RNAcentral.
GACGAACGCUGGCGGCAUGCCUAAUACAUGCAAGUCGAGCGAACAGAUGAAGUGCUUGCCCUUCUGACGUUAGCGGCGAACGGGUGAGUAACACGUAAGGAAUCUACCUAUAAGCGGGGGAUAACAUUCGGAAACGGGUGCUAAUACCGCAUAAUAUCUUCUUCCGCAUGGAAGAAGAUUGAAAGACGGCUCUGCUGUCACUUAUAGAUGACCUUGCGGUGCAUUAGUUAGUUGGUGGGGUAACGGCCUACCAAGACGAUGAUGCAUAGCCGACCUGAGAGGGUGAUCGGCCACAUUGGGACUGAGACACGGCCCAAACUCCUACGGGAGGCAGCAGUAGGGAAUCUUCCGCAAUGGGCGAAAGCCUGACGGAGCAAUGCCGCGUGAGUGAAGAAGGCCUUCGGGUCGUAAAACUCUGUUAUAAGAGAAGAACAAAUUGUAGAGUAACUGCUACAGUCUUGACGGUAUCUUAUCAGAAAGCCACGGCUAACUACGUG